AUUGAACGCUGGCGGCAGGCCUAACACAUGCAAGUCGAACGGUAACAGGAAACAGCUUGCUGUUUCGCUGACGAGUGGCGGACGGGUGGGUAAUGUCUGGGAAACUGCCUGAUGGAGGGGGAUAACUACUGGAAACGGUAGCUAAUACCGCAUAACGUCGCAAGACCAAAGAGGGGGACCUUCGGGCCUCUUGCCGUCGGAUGUGCCCAGAUGGGAUUAGCUAGUAGGUGGGGUAACGGCUCACCUAGGCGACGAUCCCUAGCUGGUCUGAGAGGAUGACCAGCCACACUGGAACUGAGACACGGUCCAGACUCCUACGGGAGGCAGCAGUGGGGAAUAUUGCACAAUGGGCGCAAGCCUGAUGCAGCCAUGCCGCGUGUAUGAAGAAGGCCUUCGGGUUGUAAAGUACUUUCAGCGGGGAGGAAGGGAGUAAAGUUAAUACCUUUACUCAUUGACGUUACCCGCAGAAGAAGCACCGGCUAACUCCGUG
RNAcentral lists this ribosomal RNA (490 nucleotides) under uncultured bacterium. RNAcentral describes it as "partial 16S ribosomal RNA". It matches the Rfam family "Bacterial small subunit ribosomal RNA", at positions 30 to 507 of the family's 1533-position model. The record is from RNAcentral.